GUGUUUUAUGAAAUUAAAUAAAUAGAUUAGCAGUACCUUUGACAAGAAUGGAAGAAAUUCUAUGGACCUGUACUCCACACAUACAUGUAAGGUGUCGCCAUCUCAUUGUAGCACCUAACAAUUUUUGU
This 128-nucleotide non-coding RNA is filed under the name Carlito syrichta (Philippine tarsier). Lineage: Eukaryota; Metazoa; Chordata; Mammalia; Primates; Tarsiidae. The record is from RNAcentral.